RNAcentral lists this ribosomal RNA (1562 nucleotides) under Glauconycteris argentata (silvered bat). Its description in RNAcentral is "16S ribosomal RNA". It matches the Rfam family "Bacterial large subunit ribosomal RNA". The record is from RNAcentral. Lineage: Eukaryota; Metazoa; Chordata; Mammalia; Chiroptera; Vespertilionidae.
AACUAAAUCUAGCCCAAAAAAUAGUUCAUAAAAUUAUUCUCCACAGACUUAAAACAAAACAUUUAUUAUCAUUAAAGUAUAGGCGAUAGAAAUAAUAUGCCUGGCGCUAUAGAAAAAGUACCGCAAGGGAAAGUUGAAAUAAACAUUAUAAGUAACAAAUAGCAAAGAUUAAUACUUGUACCUUUUGCAUCAUGAUUCAACUAGAAUAUAUUAGCAAAAAGAAUUUAAGUUAAAUGACCCGAAACCAGACGAGCUACCUUAAUGGCAGCCAAUUAGGGCAAACCCGUCUAUGUGGCAAAAUAGUGGGAUGACCAUAAGGUAGGGGUGACAAGCCUACCGAGCCUGGUGAUAGCUGGUUGUCCAGGACAGAAUUUUAGUUCUAAUUUAAAUUUACAUAAAAAAAGCUAAUUCUAAUGUAAAUUUAAAAAAUAGUCUAAAAGGGUACAGCUUUUUAGACAAGGGAUAUAACCCAAACUAGAGAGCAAACAAAUUUAAAUCCACGAUAGUUGGCCUAAAAGCAGCCAUCAAACAAGAAGGCGUUCAAGCCCAACAGAACACCUACAACUUAAUUCCAAUAAUAACAUCAACUCCUAGUAUAAAACUGGACCAUUCUAUUAAUACAUAGAAGAAAUAAUGUUGAUAUGAGUAAUAAGAAAUAUUUCUCCCCGCACAUGUUUAUAUCAAAGAACGAAUGAAUCACUGAUAAUUACCAAAGUAUAUAUCAUCAAAAUUUUAUCUGUACCACUAUUUGUUAGCCCAACACAGGAGUGCAAUAAAGGAAAGAUCAAAAGAAGCAAAAGGAACUCGGCAAAUCUUAACCCCGCCUGUUUACCAAAAACAUCACCUCUAGCAUAAAUAAUAUUAGAGGCACUGCCUGCCCGGUGACUUCAGUUUAACGGCCGCGGUAUCCUGACCGUGCAAAGGUAGCAUAAUCACUUGUUCCCUAAAUAGGGACUUGUAUGAAUGGCCCCACGAGGGUUCUACUGUCUCUUGCUUCCAAUCAAUGAAAUUGACCAUCCCGUGAAGAGGCGGGAAUAAAAAAAUAAGACGAGAAGACCCUAUGGAGCUUUAAUUAAUUAGCCUACAAAUAAUAAAACCACCCCCGAUAGGAAUAUGUUUAUUUUAACUUAGGCUAAAAAUUUAGGUUGGGGUGACCUCGGAAUAAAAACUAACUCCCGAGAAAAUUCAUUAAGACCAACAAGUCAAAAUUAAUCCACUAUACAGUGACCCGCCAUUGGCGAUCAACGAAACAAGUUACCCUAGGGAUAACAGCGCAAUCCUAUUUAAGAGUUCAUAUCGACAAUAAGGGUUUACGACCUCGAUGUUGGAUCAGGACAUCCCAAUGGUGCAGCAGCUAUUAAUGCGUUCGUUUGUUCAACGAUUAAAGUCCUACGUGAUCUGAGUUCAGACCGGAGUAAUCCAGGUCGGUUUCUAUCUAUUUACAGUCUCUCCCAGUACGAAAGGACAAGAGAGACGGGGCCUACUUGCUACCAAGCGCCCCAAUUAAAACAGAUGAUCUAAUCUUAAUCUCAUUGUUCAAGCCACACCCCAGACUAGGGAUU